CAUUAUGUUUUCAUUAUCAACUAUAAUAACAAUAAUUGUUCUGGCAAACGUUGUAUUGCCACGCAGUAGGCUAGGCCACUUAGUCGCCGUGACAUCUGUGUCAUAUAUUUGAUAUUUUACAAGCUCAAUAUUGACAAGAAAAAUAAUUGGGUGACCCAAGUAUUUCGCAGGAUGCUUUCUUGCAUUGGCUGCAUAUGGGUUACAUUAGAUAAGAUAAGGUUGCAUGUUUGAUCACUGCGCUAUUUGGCACAAGGAACAAUUGUGUCAGACGCAAGAUGCGUCACAAGUGCAAUUUUAUCGGAAUUUAAAGAGAUAUCCAGCACUAGUAGAACAAGUUGAGAGGUGCAUAUUAUAUUUAAAAACAGAAACUUGUCGAGAAAUGGACGGAGAAAUGUCACUAGCGCAUUCGAAGAAUUGGAUACAACUAUAAGACAUUGACCGCAGAAUUUAAUAAGACGUACCAGGGAAGAGCAUCGCAUAGAAAUCAACUUCAAUUCCAAUGAAAGCAGGAAAAAUCAAGACACGUGAACUUCGCAUGAAUUUUAGCGCAAACACCCAUUCCAAGGCCCGCUUUCUCCCCCGUGCUCCAACAGAUCACUUCAACGUGACCACAUCAAAAAUGUUCCAAUUUGCCGCCAACGAAGACCACAAAAACAUCUUCAUUUAUGUAUCAUGUUAAACCUGCGAAUAAGAGCAAUAAACUUUAUAAUGUGUUGGUUUGGCUUUUGGACUAUUGUUUUCAAUUAAACAAAUAAAGAAAAAUGAAAAUUUG
Aedes aegypti (yellow fever mosquito) is the source of this 772-nucleotide long non-coding RNA. RefSeq lists it as uncharacterized. The record is from RefSeq and is a predicted model, not a curated record. The transcript is spliced from 4 exons. NCBI's taxonomy places the organism in Eukaryota, Metazoa, Arthropoda, Insecta, Diptera, Culicidae.